This 495-nucleotide ribosomal RNA is filed under the name uncultured bacterium. RNAcentral describes it as "partial 16S ribosomal RNA". It matches the Rfam family "Bacterial small subunit ribosomal RNA", at positions 28 to 507 of the family's 1533-position model. The record is from RNAcentral.
GACGAACGCUGGCGGCGUGCCUAAUACAUGCAAGUAGAACGCUGAAGGAGGAGCUUGCUUCUCUGGAUGAGUUGCGAACGGGUGAGUAACGCGUAGGUAACCUGCCUGGUAGCGGGGGAUAACUAUUGGAAACGAUAGCUAAUACCGCAUAAUAGUAGAUGUUGCAUGACAUUUGCUUAAAAGGUGCAAUUGCAUCACUACCAGAUGGACCUGCGUUGUAUUAGCUAGUUGGUGAGGUAACGGCUCACCAAGGCAACGAUACAUAGCCGACCUGAGAGGGGGAUCGGCCACAAUGGGACUGAGACACGGCCCAGACUCCUACGGGAGGCAGCAGUAGGGGAUCUUCGGCAAUGGACGGAAGUCUGACCGAGCAACGCCGCGUGAGUGGAGGAGGUUUUCGGAUCGUAAAGCUCUGUUGUAAGGGAAGAACGAGUGUGAGAGUGGAAAGUUCACACUGUGACGGUAUCUUACCAGAAAGGGACGGCUAACUACGUG